GAUGAAGAACGUAGCGAAAUGCGAUAAGUAAUGUGAAUUGCAGAAUUCAGUGAAUCAUCGAAUCUUUGAACGCACAUUGCGCCCGUCAGUAUUCUGGCGGGCAUGCCUGUUCGAGCGUCAUUACGCCCCUCAAGUCCCCUGUGGACUUGGUGUUGGGGAUCGGCGAGGCUGGUUUUCCAGCACAGCCGUCCCUUAAAUUAAUUGGCGGUCUCGCCGUGGCCCUCCUCUGCGCAGUAGUAAAACACUCGCAACAGGAGCCCGGCGCGGUCCACUGCCGUAAAACCCCCCAACUUUUUAUAGUUGACCUCGAAUCAGGUAGGACUACCCGCUGAACUUAAGCAUUUCAAUAAGCGGAGGA
This 358-nucleotide unclassified non-coding RNA is filed under the name soil metagenome. RNAcentral describes it as "partial contains 5.8S ribosomal RNA, internal transcribed spacer 2, and large subunit ribosomal RNA". The stretch from base 1 to 120 matches the Rfam family "5.8S ribosomal RNA", at positions 35 to 154 of the family's 154-position model. The record is from RNAcentral.